GAUAGGGCUGCGACCCAGACCUCCCUCUUGCGUCCUAUAUAUAGUGGGGGAGAGGGAGGGGCUGAACACACCAAUUACCACGCCCAAGUGGCAUCCCUACCUCUCCCAUAACUCUGUUUUCUCCUCAGAUAGGUUACGGUUGCACUUGGCGAAGCCCUGGUGGCACUGCUCCACCAUGCCGUCGUGCUGGUUAAGAUCCCGUCUACUACUCCUUCUUCUCUUGCUGGAUCAAGAAGGAGGAGACAUCAUCGAGCCAUAUGUGUGCUGAACGCGGAGGUGUCGUCUGUUCAGCGCUAGAUCGGGACAAAUCGUGAUCAGCUCACGGGACGGAUCGUGAUUGGAUUGUGAAGACGUCCGACUACAUCGACUGCGUUAUAUACGCUUCCGCUUAGCGAUCUACAAGGGUAUGUAGAUGCACUCCCCCUCUCGUAGAUGGUCAUCACCAUGGAUAGAUCUUAUGUGUGUGUAGGACAUUUUUUGUUUCCCAUGCGAUGUUCCCCAACACUUAUACACGACGCUCCUCCCCCUGACCCGUGGGCCCUUGUGUGAGAGCCCCCUUGCAUCUUGGUGGAGAAACGGGCAUGCAUUUACUUGUGGGGGCCUGGUUGCACUUGGGCGGUCAUUUUUCCCCGUCCAAUGCACUUUCUCUUUGCACUGCAUGCACACACCUUGUGCACUCUGUGCUAUUACUUUCCUGAACUGCAUUCAACUUUUGAUUUAGGAGGAGCUUGUGAAUCAUAAUUUUUUAGAAAUAUAUAUAUUGAUGAGCAUUCACUUUCGUGAACUGCAUUCACCUUUUUUAUGAUGGUUUUGUGAAUCGUAUUAUUUUAGAAAUAUAAAUAUCAAUUAGGAUGUUUGUUGCGCUGGUGAACUGUAAUUUUUUUUUGUAGACUGCAUUAUUUUUGUUCAAUUCACAAGGUGUACUUAUCGGUCUUGGAGUACUGGUACUAUUAUCCUUAUACUGUCAGUGCCCAACAUGACUAUUUCAACAUGACAUGGUUGCUAUGUAAACAUAAUAGGAAGCAAGCUAGAUAACUUGUUCAAUCAUGUAAACAAACUACGUACUUGACAUAAGCAAACUUGUUUGACCUGAUACACACGACAUUAGGAAAUUGGUUCAUUCUAACAGAAACAAAUUACAAACUUGAAACAACAUAAAGGAUAAGCACAAGUUAAAGCAACUCCAAGGCCAGAUUUUGAUGUUUUUCAACAUCAAAAUCCUCCGUAGUAGUAGCCAUAAUCAUUAUCCUCCUUCGCCUCCGCCUCUUUUUCCUUUGAGCACUCCAGACCUUCUGCCAUGUUUUUAAUUCUCUUCCAUGACUCAUACGUGGCGUAUGCAUCUAUCGCUCCAUAUUCUAUGAGGUAAUCCGGUAGCAGGCUGAUCCCCCAAAGUUUAUGGUCUUCUUCCGAGUUGAUCUUGUACUUCAUGUGUUUGUAUAAUGGGUGGAUCACGCUGUCUGCAACAACACCCAAAGAGUGGGACCUCUUUCCUCCCACGAAUGGAACUCUCCAUUUGCGCUGCAUGUCGACGUACUUGUUAGGGUUGAUCUCCAAACUAGAUUCCUUUAGCAUCAGCUUGUCACCUUCAGUGCUGAAGCCAAUAAAGGUGCACAACUUCUCCUCCUGCAGGAGCGGGCAAAGUCACUUGGGACUGCAAUGGGGAAGACAUAUUGAAGAUGAAUACAUCAAGUACUUUAUUUAGUAUAAUUCAUGGAUGAAUAAAUUUUCAAAAAUUCAAGCACCACAUGUUAUUUUUCUUUUUGGUAUUUUUAUAAUUGAGUCAAUGAUCUUUUUUCUACUUAGUACUAGUUUAGUUUUCCAUGUUGAACAAAAUAGGAUAUACUAGUGCUUCACCAAGUUCAUUUUUAUAUUUUGUUUUGUUGAUGAAAAAAAGGUUAGGCAAAGUUCAGAAACUAGUUUACCUCAUCAAUUUGAGAAACUACUAUUGCAUGAAGAUCAGAAACUAUACUAGUACAUCAAAUUUCAUGGUGUAUCACUAACUAAACGGAUGCAAUGAAAGAGGAUAAAAUGAGGAUACUAGUACAUUUGUUUGACUCAUGAAAAAAAUGUCAAGCAAAGUUUAGAAACUAGUUUACCUCAUCAAUUCCACAAACUACUAUUCCAUGAAGAUCAGAAACCAUACUUCUACAUCAAAUUUCACGGUGUAUCACUAAUUAAAUAGAUGCAAUGAAAGAGGAUAAAAUGAGUGGGAUGGUUCACCAUUUUGUUGCCGCGGUGAUGUGGUAUACCACAUAGAGUUCCUCCACGCAUAACUUGAGAACUAUAACCCUCUGUGGAGGAUUACCUUCCCUAGUAUACUCCACAUUAACACCAAUGAACCGAGGGAUCAGGCCAGCUAUCUUCGUCCUCGUCCUGUUGAUCAUCUCGUUAGCUACAUCUAGAUUGCUCAUGCACACGACAUCCAACUUCUCCUUCCAUGGAUGUCAACCUCACUUAGGUGCUUGGUGUAGUCAAGCUUAUGACCGGGGACCUGAACGUCGUUGCCCUCGGUGUUCUGGUUGGACGUAUCACCACGCCGACGCUUGGCAGAUGGCUCCUCCACCAUUGCCCUCCUCCAACGAUGGCAGGACUGAGACUGAUAUGUUGUGAGGAGUUGCUAGUUAUGAUGGAGCCGCAGUGGUGUUUUCAGAAUGGAGCGGGAAUGAAGCGGUCGUGGCUUUUUGUGGCGUGGUGUGGGUCGUGGAGGAGGCGGUUGGACGCGGGCUCGCUGUUGUAGUGGAGGUAAUGGACGUGUGAUUGCCGUUGUAGUGGAGGGAGAGGAAGGAACGAUGGCGGUUUUCGAGGGAGGAAGCAGUUCUGAUUUUUUUUCACGUAUAGUGGUGGGGGUGGUGGUGUCUCGCAUAAUGUGGCAUCUAAAGAUAGAACGUGAGUGGGGUUGAUGUUCUGUGAGUGGGCUCAAAAUCUGAAAUAGCGUCCCCUCGUUUUUCCCGCACGCAACUGAUAAUUUUGUGCACUGCGUGGAAAAUAGAAAAAGGACUUCAUUCGUAUGCUGCUCUGCUUAACUAACCGGGCUACAUUCUGUAUUUUAACUGAUCUGCAAUGUAGUUAUUGCUUGAAGUGGUCAACUACAUUAUUAUAGGCUCCCUUUAUUUUUUCAGAACAAACUGCAGUUUUUUGCAGUGCCCACACAAUUUUUUUUGUAGUCACUUCUUAUUUUAGUGGACCGUGGUAUUUUAGUGGGCCGAAUACACAUUCGGCCCAAGUAAGCCUGCCGACACAGGAAAUCAGGUAUGAUGUGUGUAUGCGCUAAGGUUUAGUCCCACCUCGCCAGCUGAGAUCGGCCGCGAGCGGUUUAUAAGCCACCACGAGGCAACCGUUACGAACUCCUCUAGCUACUUAUUGGCACUUAUACAUGGCGCUACUUUGCACCUAGCCUGUGGGCCCUUGUGUGCCAGGCCCCAGGAAAUGUGGCGCGGAAACAGACACGCGUUUACUUGUGGGGGUGCCCCUCUGCACGUGGGCGGUCAUUUUUUUUAUUUUUCCCAGUCUAAUGCACCUUCUCUUUGCACUGCAUGCACAAACCUUGUGCACUGCUUGUUAUUUCUUUCCUGAACUGCAUUCAACUUUUGNUAUAUAUAUAUAUAUAUUGAUGAGCUGCGUUUAGUGGACGGUCAUUAUUUUCGUCCAGUACACUUUCUCUUGCACUCUAUGUACACCCCUUGUGCACUGCCCGACAUUACCUUGUGAACUGCAUUCACGCUUGCGAAUUAUAAUUUUUUAGACACAUAAAUAUUAAUAUGAUUUGUUUUGGUGGGUGGGAGGUGUUGUAGUCAAAGUACACUUUUUCCAGACUCCGUUUUUCUUGGUAACAGAAGUUUUAUUUAUUGUCCUUCAUUCUUGGUACUUUAAUUUUGCUGCUCGGCUUGGACAUUUUGCCUUGCUCUUCUAUAUAAUUAGGCCAUCUUCUAACCUUCAUUUGCAUUUCCAUCUCCUCUGUAGCUGCAACUUCUCUGCUUCCUCCAGUUCCCUCUAACCAGGGACCAGCCGUUUUGCUGCGAUGGCUCCAGGCCCGUGCCCAAAUCUCUCAUGCUGUGUCCAUGGUUGUGGUGUGCCUAUGCGUUGAGAUUGCUCAGCUUGCUCGCAUGCUUGGCGUGGCCGCCGAGUGGGCAAGGUCUUGUGCGCAGUUGGGCGAGCGGAGCAGCUCUUAUAUCGCACAGUUUUCAGUGAGGGUUUGGAUCUGGACCAUAUCAACGUGGAUGAGUUCUAUUCUGCACAAGUGUGUGUGCAUUUUAUGUGUACUUUGUGAGUUCUACUCCGCACAAGCAUGGACCUCGCUUACAUCAGAAGUUCAGGGAACUGUGCAUGCGUUUUAUCUGUACUGCUUUUGUUAGUGUGUUAGUGCACUUCAUAUGGCUCUCAUAUGUUGUGUGUGCAGGUUAGUUUUUUUCCUCACAUCUACGGAGCUCGUGUUUUGUUUUUUUGCAUUACUAUGAUGCUCCAUUAAUAUAGAGUUCGUACUACAUGGUUACAAGAUUUUGAACUACACGGGAAUGAGAUUAGCACUACCAGCUUGUACAUUGUUUAUUUUGCGAAGUGCAUCCCUGUUAGAAAGAGGAUUGCGGUGUGUCAUGUUCCGCACUACAUGUACCUCGCUUACAUAAGAGGUUCGGGGAAUUGUGUGUGUUUUUUAUCUGUACUGCUUUGUUAGUCUGUUGGUGCACUUCAUAUAGCUCUCGUAUGUUGUGUGUGCAUCUUUUUUGUGUGUGCACAAAUAUGAUAAUUGUACUGCUAGUAUCGUCCUGUAACGAUUUUAUUAUUUUUUGCAGAAAAUCCCACAACGAGCUGUUAUGUAUCUCUGGUUGAAGAAGAAGGGUAUUCUACACGUUGUUCUCGUCAAUGGGCACCCGAGUCGAGUGAACUACAGUGUAGGCGUUAAUGGCGGCUGUAUCUGCAGACAGGCUGGAAGGAAUUCGUCAUUGAAAAUGACCUGAAGUCUCAGCAAGUUGUUGUCCUCAACUUUUUUGAAUUCGAGGAUCGUUUCUUUGAAAUCAUGUUUAACGUGAUUGGUUAAGAUUUUAUGAG
Molecule: long non-coding RNA, 5043 nt
Filed under: Hordeum vulgare
Lineage: Eukaryota; Viridiplantae; Streptophyta; Magnoliopsida; Poales; Poaceae
Description: long non-coding RNA (HVUL_LNC007326)
Source: RNAcentral